UACAUCAUGUACGUGGCCCAGUACUUACUUGAUGUGACUCUCCUCUCAUGCCUAGACCCUGCUCACAGGUGAUGCUACUCUCUACUUAUGGCUGGGCCUUGACAAAAAGAGGGAUUGGGACAUAUCCCUGGACGCUGAACCUAAGAGGUGGAGGUUGCCGUGGUGACAGAGUGAGACUUCGCCAAAACAAAACAAAAAAAACAACAACAAAAGGCUGUGUGAAUCCUCUCUUCACCCUGGACCCUGCCAAAGGGAAAGAUUGAGACAUAUCACUGGAACUAGCACUUAGGCAAUGUGACUCUUCUCUUCUGCCUGCGAACCACAUUUUUGGGUAUUGUGACAUUUAAUCUUUAUUACAGGAAAGAUUGUUGAAAUAUGACUGGGCCCGGCAUCCAGGUUGGAUUGUGACAUACACUUUAGCACAGCUCAUGGUUGUGAUGAUGACACUUAUAGACUUACAGAAAUGAAUAAACUCCUGAGUCUUCUGUAGUAAGAACGUCAUAAAGGAUGGUCAUUCUUUCAUAUAUUGUGCAAUGUCUUUGCAUGGUACAAAGAGCGUCAUCACAGAACCAGGCACACAGAUGCACGUGACAUUUGGUGCCGAAGACCCAGGAUAGGAGGACUCCUUUGG
RNAcentral lists this long non-coding RNA (631 nucleotides) under Homo sapiens (human). RNAcentral's name for it is "long non-coding RNA NONHSAT180276.1". Lineage: Eukaryota; Metazoa; Chordata; Mammalia; Primates; Hominidae. The record is from RNAcentral.